ACUCAAAGGAAUAGACGGGGACCCGCACAAGCAGUGGAGCGCCUGGUUUAAUUCGAUGAUCAACGAAGAACCUCACCUGGGCUUAAACAGUAGCUGUAUUACGUAAGAAAAGACGUAAGCUUCGAGAUCGCUACAGAGGUGCUGCAUGGCUGUCGUCAGCUCGUGUCGUGAGAUGUAGGGUUAAGUCCCACAACGAGCGCAACCCCUAUCUGGUGUUAAAAUUUCUCCAGAGACUGCCCCGCCACAACGGGGAGGAAGGAGGGGACGACGUCCAGUCAUCAUAUCCCUUAUGUCCAGGGCUACACAGACGCUACAAUGGCCAUUACAAUGGGUUGCCAAACCGCGAGGUGGAGCCAAUCCCAUCAAAAAUGGUCUCAGUUCGGAUUGCAGGCUGCAACUCGCCUGCAUGAAGCCGGAAUUGCUAGUAAUCGCGUAUCAGCACGGCGCGGUGAAUACGUUCUCGGGUCUUGUACACACCGCCCGU
Molecule: ribosomal RNA, 484 nt
Filed under: uncultured bacterium
Lineage: Bacteria
Description: partial 16S ribosomal RNA
Rfam family: Bacterial small subunit ribosomal RNA
Source: RNAcentral